RNAcentral lists this ribosomal RNA (372 nucleotides) under uncultured bacterium. RNAcentral describes it as "bacterial SSU rRNA". It matches the Rfam family "Bacterial small subunit ribosomal RNA", at positions 359 to 758 of the family's 1533-position model. The record is from RNAcentral.
GAUCAGGGAACUGGGCGCAGCCUGACCGCAAUGCCGCGUGGGUGAAGAAGGUCUUCGGAUUGUAAAGCCCUUUCGGCGGGGACGAAAGUGACGGUACCCGAAAAAAAAGCCCCGGCUAACUUCUUGCUAACAACCGCGGUAUUACUAAGGGGGCUAGCGUUGCUCGGAAUUACUGGGCGUAAAGGGCGCCUAAGCUACUGUGUUGGUCGGGCGUGAAAUUCCUGGUCUCACCCGGGGGCCUGUCUUGACCUGCGGGGCUGGCUGCGGAAGAGGCUCGCGGAAUUCCUGUGUAGAGGUGAAUUCAAUUAUAUUGGGAAGAACACCGUUGGCGAAGGCGGCGAGCUGACCCGUACCUGACGCUGAGGCGCGACA